GACGAACGCUGGCGGCGUGCUUAACACAUGCAAGUCGAACGGAAAGGCCCUGCUUUUGUGGGGUGCUCGAGUGGCGAACGGGGGAGUAACACGUGAGUAACCUGCCCUUGACUUUGGGAUAACUUCAGGAAACUGGGGCUAAUACCGGAUAGGAGCUCCUGCUGCAUGGUGGGGGUUGGAAAGUUUCGGCGGUUGGGGAUGGACUCGCGGCUUAUCAGCUUGUUGGUGGGGUAGUGGCUUACCAAGGCUUUGACGGGUAGCCGGCCUGAGAGGGUGACCGGCCACAUUGGGACUGAGAUGCGGCCCAGACUCCUACGGGAGGCAGCAGUGGGGAAUAUUGCACAAUGGGAGGAAGCCUGAUGCAGCAAAGCCGCGUGCGGGAUGACGGCAUUCGGGUUGUAAACCGCUUUCGCCUGUGCCGAAGCGUGAGUGACGGUAAUGGGUAAAGAAGCACCGGCUAACUCCGUG
RNAcentral lists this ribosomal RNA (468 nucleotides) under uncultured bacterium. RNAcentral's name for it is "partial 16S ribosomal RNA". It matches the Rfam family "Bacterial small subunit ribosomal RNA", at positions 28 to 507 of the family's 1533-position model. The record is from RNAcentral.